This is a long non-coding RNA of Erinaceus europaeus (western European hedgehog), 612 nucleotides long. RefSeq lists it as uncharacterized. The transcript is spliced from 3 exons. The record is from RefSeq and is a predicted model, not a curated record. NCBI's taxonomy places the organism in Eukaryota, Metazoa, Chordata, Mammalia, Eulipotyphla, Erinaceidae.
CAGGGCGUGGCCGCCAGCGGGGCGUUUGCGCCUGCGCGGACCCUGUACCCGGAAGUCGCUGUCUGGCGGCCGCGCGCGUCUGUGCAGGAAUGCCAGCAUGCUGAGUGAGACAGCCGGAGAGAAAGACCGGCCCUGAGUCAUCUCGCUAAGAGGAAGAAUAAAGGACAAGAGGGGAGACACAAGGUUCCAGAUGCCAGCAUGAUGCCAACCCGACUUCCCUGGGCAAACGACCCCACCAUGUGUCCUGGAGCCCCGCUUUCCCAGAGCUCUGCCCCAUUAGGGAAAGAGACAGGCUGGAGUAUGGAUCCACCUGCCAAUGCCCAUGUUCAGCGGGGAAGCAAUUACAGAAGCCAGACCUUCCACCUUCUGCACCCCAUAAUGACCCUGGGUCCAUGCUCCCAGAGGGAUAAAGAAUAGGAAAGCUAUCAGGAAAGGGGAUGGGAUACGGAGCUCUGGUGGUGGGAACUGAGUGGAAUUGUACCCCUACCCCUCUUAUCCUAUGAUCUUGUCAGUGUUUCCAUUUUAUAAAUAAAAAUAAAACUCUAAAUAAAUAAAUAAAUAAAUAAAUAAGCUGGUGUCUAAGCCCUAGCCUGCGGCGUUUCCGGGGAGAAU